UCAAAAAUGAGUGAUUCUCUAUGACCUCAAGCUUAACCGGUUCCUCAACUUCGUCGUCGUUGACGACAUUGGCUGAGAAGAGUUAUUCCUUUGGAUAACAGUUGCCUCUUCAAUGCGGUUGGAUAUGUUAUGGAUCAUGACGAACACAAAGCUGCUGAGUUGAGACAGAUAUCUGCCUUUGAGGAAGCUCCUAAGGAGUUCGAUCAGACCAUAUUUGCUGUACGAAAAAACAGAAGCAUUGGACCUAUUGAGGGGCUUGCUCUAAAUUUUGUGAAGGACCAGCAGAGGUAUCUGAAGUUACAGGGGAUGAUGUCAUUUAUACUAUAAAGAAUUCAGCAACAUUGGCUGGGUCUCUGUUCACUUUGCAUGCCUCUCAAGUUCAUAUUGACUUGCCUACUCUCACUGAUAAAGACAAGGAGGUUAUAAGCACCUCGGGAGUAAAAAAACAAAAUUGAUUUUCUAUCAUUGUCAUAUACUAGGCAUGCUGAAGAUGUUCGCCAGGCCCAUGAAUUCCUUUCUAAGUUGGGUGAUCUAAGGGAAACUCAAAUAUUUGCAAAGAUUGAAAAUGUUGAGUAUUGCUACUCUGGUUCUUCCUCAAGUGGGCUGAUGACUAAAAUUUGGUUUGUUGAGUGCUAAGGAUAACAUGUAAAAGGGAAAAAGUAGAUUUAAAGGAGGCAAAGGAUCCCCUUGAGAAGGCAAUGGUAGAUGGUAGAUAGUUGACCCUAAAAGUAAGUUGUGCACGUUGUUGUUUUAUAUAUG
Cajanus cajan (pigeon pea) is the source of this 759-nucleotide non-coding RNA. NCBI's taxonomy places the organism in Eukaryota, Viridiplantae, Streptophyta, Magnoliopsida, Fabales, Fabaceae. The record is from RefSeq and is a predicted model, not a curated record.